AAUAGAUACCCGGGUAGUCCACGCCGUAAACGAUGAGUGCUAAGUGUUAGAGGGUUUCCGCCCUUUAGUGCUGAAGUUAACGCAUUAAGCACUCCGCCUGGGGAGUACGGUCGCAAGACUGAAACUCAAAGGAAUUGACGGGGGGCCCGCACAAGCGGUGGAGCAUGUGGUUUAAUUCGAAGCAACGCGAAGAACCUUACCAGGUCUUGACAUCCUCUGACAACCCUAGAGAUAGGGCUUUCCCUUCGGGGACAGAGUGACAGGUGGUGCAUGGUUGUCGUCAGCUCGUGUCGUGAGAUGUUGGGUUAAGUCCCGCAACGAGCGCAACCCUUGAUCUUAGUUGCCAGCAUUCAGUUGGGCACUCUAAGGUGACUGCCGGUGACAAACCGGAGGAAGGUGGGGAUGACGUCAAAUCAUCAUGCCCCUUAUGACCUGGGCUACACACGUGCUACAAUGGACGGUACAAAGAGUCGCAAGACCGCGAGGUGGAGCUAAUCUCAUAAAACCGUUCUCAGUUCGGAUUGUAGGCUGC
RNAcentral lists this ribosomal RNA (532 nucleotides) under uncultured bacterium. Its description in RNAcentral is "bacterial SSU rRNA". It matches the Rfam family "Bacterial small subunit ribosomal RNA", at positions 777 to 1308 of the family's 1533-position model. The record is from RNAcentral.